CCUACGGGUGGCAGCAGUGAGGAAUAUUGGUCAAUGGGCGAGAGCCUGAACCAGCCAAGUCGCGUGAAGGAUGACGGCCCUACGGGUUGUAAACUUCUUUUGUCAGGGAGCAAUUGGGUCCACGCGUGGGCUUAGCGAGAGUACCUGAAGAAAAAGCAUCGGCUAACUCCGUGCCAGCAGCCGCGGUAAUACGGAGGAUGCGAGCGUUAUCCGGAUUUAUUGGGUUUAAAGGGUGCGUAGGCGGAAUAUCAAGUCAGCGGUAAAAAGUCGGGGCUCAACCCCGUCGUGCCGUUGAAACUGAUGUUCUUGAGAUGUCGAGAGGUAUGCGGAAUGCGCAGUGUAGCGGUGAAAUGCUUAGAUAUUGCGCAGAACUCCGAUUGCGAAGGCAGCAUACCGGCGGCGAUCUGACGCUGAGGCACGAAAGCGUGGGUAUCGAACAGGAUUAGAUACCCGAGUAGUC
RNAcentral lists this ribosomal RNA (460 nucleotides) under uncultured bacterium. Its description in RNAcentral is "partial 16S ribosomal RNA". It matches the Rfam family "Bacterial small subunit ribosomal RNA", at positions 338 to 795 of the family's 1533-position model. The record is from RNAcentral.